Molecule: transfer RNA, 75 nt
Filed under: Chloroflexota bacterium
Lineage: Bacteria; Bacillati; Chloroflexota
Description: Chloroflexi bacterium (anaerobic digester metagenome) tRNA-Cys
Rfam family: tRNA
About the family: Transfer RNA (tRNA) molecules are approximately 80 nucleotides in length. Their secondary structure includes four short double-helical elements and three loops (D, anti-codon, and T loops).
Source: RNAcentral
GCCACGGUACCGAAGCGGUCUAACGGCCAGGUCUGCAAAACCUCGGAUUCGCGGGUUCGAAUCCCGCCCGUGGCU